Molecule: ribosomal RNA, 467 nt
Filed under: uncultured bacterium
Lineage: Bacteria
Description: partial 16S ribosomal RNA
Rfam family: Bacterial small subunit ribosomal RNA
Source: RNAcentral
GACGAACGCUGGCGGCGUGCUUAACACAUGCAAGUCGAACGGAAAGGCCCUGCUUUUGUGGGGUGCUCGAGUGGCGAACGGGUGAGUAACACGUGAGUAACCUGCCCUUGACUUUGGGAUAACUUCAGGAAACUGGGGCUAAUACCGGAUAGGAGCUCCUGCUGCAUGGUGGGGGUUGGAAAGUUUCGGCGGUUGGGGAUGGACUCGCGGCUUAUCAGCUUGUUGGUGGGGUAGUGGCUUACCAAGGCUUUGACGGGUAGCCGGCCUGAGAGGGUGACCGGCCACAUGGGGACUGAGAUACGGCCCAGACUCAUACGGGAGGCAGCAGUGGGGAAUAUUGCACAAUGGGCGGAAGCCUGAUGCAGCAACGCCGCGUGCGGGAUGACGGCCUUCGGGUUGUAAACCGCUUUCGCCUGUGACGAAGCGUGAGUGACGGUAAUGGGUAAAGAAGCACCGGCUAACUACGU